This 1015-nucleotide long non-coding RNA is filed under the name Homo sapiens (human). RNAcentral describes it as "HSALNT0312305". Lineage: Eukaryota; Metazoa; Chordata; Mammalia; Primates; Hominidae. The record is from RNAcentral.
UUCUCCUGUCUCAGCCUCCUGAGUACCUGGGAUUAAAGGGCAAAAGCUUGCUGACCACAAAGAACUUGUCUGUGCUGAUUACUGCUAGAUCUUGGAUGUCAAACACAGUGACCACAUUAUGGAUGCAGUGGAAAAUUGUUAAAUGAAUGAACAAAGUAUAGGUCUGCCAGUUUCCUUGGUAGGAGUUAAAUGCCAGUAUAUGUUUAUAUUACCUUAAUUUGUUUUCUUUAUCUAUAAAUAAAUCUUGCCUACUUCUGUUUGCAGGGUAAAAUUAAGGUGAUUUUCUUCUACAACAUGAUUGAGCUAGCAUACUCUCCAGGAGGGAACAGACAGGCAUUCUGAAAGGAUGUUUGCCUUUGAAGAUGGGCCUGUUAGUAUCCUCUAUUUUAUAAAUGAGGAAGUGAAACUCAUGUCAGCUGCCAUUUCUGCCAUCCAUAGGUGUGCAAAACAGGGAGAACCCAAGUGGAGAGUGGUGAAGAGUAUUGCAGUGCUAAACAAAAGUGACGUUCUGUUUUCAAAGGUGACUUCCAAUGAAGACUACUCUUUAGCCUGAACAUGGAGGGAAAAAGAACAGUGUCAGUACCCACAGUCCUAUUCUUCCUUCUACAUCUGACAUUAUUAUUUUUUUCCUUUCCAUAGGCUUAGGCUUCUAAUCCCGAUGAUUACUUUUCUUACCUAUUUCUGUAGCAUGUUUUCAUGCUGAAAGAGAAGUUGACGUGCUGUUGUCAUCGUAUUAAGGCCUAAGCAGAACAGCAUUAUUGGUAUUAUUAUUUUUCCUCUCACAAACAGGAUUCCACUUAAUCUCUUUUACCGGAUGGCACAGUUAAAGUGCCUUCUUCAUCAGAGCCUGUUUUAAACAAGCAGGCCUUUUAUUUUAUGACACUUAUAUUGAGACACAUUGAGUUAUAUCUGUCUUUUCAUUUGCACCAACACAUUUAUUUGAGGCCUCAUAUUUCCUAGGUAACGUGACUAAGGUAGAUUUAUCGGUGCUAAUUUGCAUACAGAACAACAUUGG